AUUGAACGCUGGCGGCAGGCUUAACACAUGCAAGUCGAGCGAGCGGCGGAAGGGUGAGUAAUGUCUGGGAAACUGCCUGAUGGAGGGGGAUAACGACUGGAAACGGUAGCUAAUACCGCAUACCAUCAGAUGUGCCCAGAUGGGAUUAGCUAGGAGGUGGGGUAAAGGCUCACCUAGGAGACGAUCCCUAGCUGGUCUGAGAGGAUGACCAUCCACACGGGAACUGAGACAUGGUCCAGACUCCUACGGGAGGCUGCAGUGGUGAAUAUUGCACAAUGGGCGCAAGCCUGAUGCAGCCAUUCCGCGUGUAUGAAGAAGGCCUUCGUGUUGUAAAGUACUUUCAGCGGGGAUGCGUUACCCGCAUAAGAAGCACCGGCUAACUCCGUGCCAGCAGCCGCGGUAAUAC
This 406-nucleotide ribosomal RNA is filed under the name uncultured bacterium. RNAcentral's name for it is "partial 16S ribosomal RNA". It matches the Rfam family "Bacterial small subunit ribosomal RNA", at positions 30 to 526 of the family's 1533-position model. The record is from RNAcentral.